UGCCUAAUGCAUGCAACGUCGCACGGGAACCCUUUCGGUGGGUCGAGGNGUGGCGGGCUGGGUGAGGAACACGUGGCUAACCUGCCCACUCUGAGGGGUGAUAACCUCAGGAAACCGAAGGACUAAUACCGCAUACGCUCAAGCGCGGGGACGCACUUGAGGAAACGGAGCAAUCCGCGGAUGGAGGGGGCUGCGGCCGAUUAGCUAGUUGGUGGGGUAAGANCCUACCAAGGCGGUGAUCGGUAGCUGGUNUGAGAGGACGAUCAGCCACACGGGGACUGAUGACACGGCCCCGACUCCUACGGGAGAGCAGCAGCAAGGAAUUUUCCACAAUGGGCGCAAGCCUGAUGGAGCAACGCCGUCGUGGGGGAUGACGCUUUUCGGAGUGUAAACCCCUUCUCGAGAGGACGAAGCCNAUGACGGUACUCUCGGAAGAAGGACCGGCUAACUACGUGCCAGCAGCCGCGGUAAGACGUAGGUCCGAGCGUUGUCCGGAGUUACUGGGCGUAAANCGCGCAGCAGGCGGUUCGAUACUCGGUGUGAAAGCCCCCCGCUCAACGGGGGAGGGUCAUUCGAAACGGUCGGACUGGAGGCAGGGAGAGGUCGGUGGAAUUCCCGGUGUAUUGGUGAAAUGCGUAAGAUCGGGAGGAACACCAGUGGCGAAGGCGGCCGACUGGACCUGUACUGACGCUUAGGCGCAAAGGCGUGGGGAGCGAACGGGUAUUAUCAUACCCCCGGUUCCCACGCAGUAAACGAUGUGCACUAGGUGUGGGGGGUGUAGACCCCCUCCGUGCCGGCGCUAACGCAGUAAGUGCACCGCCUGGGGAGUACGGCCGCAAGGCUAAAACUCAAAGGAAUUGACGGGGGCCCGCACAAGCAGCGGAGCGUGUGGUUUAAUUCGACGCAACGCGCAAAACCUUACCAGGGCUUGACGUCCGCGGAAUCUCUGUGAAAGCGGAGAGUGCCUUCGGGAGCCGCGAGACAGGUGUUGCAUGGCUGUCGUCAGCUCGUGUCGUGAGAUGUUGGGUUAAGUCCCGCAACGAGCGCAACCCUUGUGACUAGUUACGUGGAUGUCUAGUCAGACUGCCAGACUGCUGGAGGAAGGCGGGGAUGACGUCAAGUCAGCAUGACCCUUACGCCCUGGGCUACACACACGCUACAAUGACCGGUACAGAGGGCAGCCAAGCGGUAACGCGGAGCCAAUCCCAGAAAGCCGGUCUCAGUUCAGAUUGUGGGCUGCAACUCGCCCACAUGAAGCUGGAGUUGCUAGUAACCGCCGGUCAGCAUUACGGCGGUGAAUAUGUUCCCGGGCCUUGUACACACCGCCCGUCACGUCAUGGAAGCCGGUAACACCUGAAGUCGGUGGGCCAACUUACGGAGGCAGCCGCCGAGGGUGGGAUUGGUAACUGGGACGAAGUCGUACAAGGUAGCCGUAGCGGAAGCUGCGGCUGGAUCACCUCCUU
This 1463-nucleotide ribosomal RNA is filed under the name uncultured bacterium. RNAcentral's name for it is "bacterial SSU rRNA". It matches the Rfam family "Bacterial small subunit ribosomal RNA". The record is from RNAcentral.